This 301-nucleotide ribosomal RNA is filed under the name uncultured bacterium. RNAcentral describes it as "partial 16S ribosomal RNA". It matches the Rfam family "Bacterial small subunit ribosomal RNA", at positions 509 to 807 of the family's 1533-position model. The record is from RNAcentral.
CAGCCGCCACGGUAAUACGUAGGUGGCAAGCGUUGUCCGGAAUUAUUGGGCGUAAAGGGCUCGCAGGCGGUUUCUUAAGUCUGAUGUGAAAGCCCCCGGCUCAACCGGGGAGGGUCAUUGGAAACUGGGAAACUUGAGUGCAGAAGAGGAGAGUGGAAUUCCACGUGUAGCGGUGAAAUGCGUAGAGAUGUGGAGGAACACCAGUGGCGAAGGCGACUCUCUGGUCUGUGACUGACGCUGAGGAGCGAAAGCGUGGGGAGCGAACAGGAUUAGAUACCCCCGUAGUCCCUGUCUCUUAUAC